Molecule: long non-coding RNA, 485 nt
Filed under: Mytilus galloprovincialis (Mediterranean mussel)
Lineage: Eukaryota; Metazoa; Mollusca; Bivalvia; Mytilida; Mytilidae
Source: RNAcentral
UGCGUUUAACAACUGAAAUAAAUUAUUCAACUGACAUACAACUUCAUGUGUCCAUGCACGAUGGCUUGCAACUUUAAACAGUUUAAAAUUCAUCUGGAUAUAAAAAAUCUGUUUGGAUACUUAGUAAACAACUCUAAUGCUGACUGAAUAGCAUUAAUAAAAAUGUCAUUGCCAAUAUAUGACAGAUUCGCCAUCAUCAGCGAAAAGAGUUGGAUGGAUAUCAUCAAAAUCAGUAUGUUUAAUAGCCUUGCCCUAAACUUUGUGUAGGUAAGAUCUAACCCCCCUUUGUUUAAAACAGUCUGAAACUGAAAUCUUGUCAAUGAUUUCCCAUUUAUAUGGCAAAAAUGAGGACCAUCAUUUCCAGGUCUUAUUUGCAAAAAGGCUUUCAAACUUUGUAGAGGACAAAUCUCAUUUGAUUCAUUUUUAUUUAUUUUUUACAACUAAAGUAGUGGAUCUCCCUUUUUGAUCAGUUUUUGAAAAAAAAA